UUUUAUGGAGAGUUUGAUCCUGGCUCAGGACGAACGCUGGCGGCGUGCCUAAUACAUGCAAGUCGAGCGGAAAUUUUAUUGGUGCUUGCACCUUUAAAAUUUUAGCGGCGGACGGGUGAGUAACACGUGG
This 130-nucleotide ribosomal RNA is filed under the name Solibacillus kalamii. RNAcentral's name for it is "partial 16S ribosomal RNA". It matches the Rfam family "Bacterial small subunit ribosomal RNA", at positions 1 to 120 of the family's 1533-position model. The record is from RNAcentral. Lineage: Bacteria; Bacillati; Bacillota; Bacilli; Caryophanales; Caryophanaceae.